GAGCUGCUGUGGGUUGGCAGGGUGGGCUGCCGUCCGUGUACACGAGCAGGAACCCAGGGUGCCAGACAGGUCCCUAUAUGGAUGUCACUGGCCCCCGGGCAGAGGGAAAGGAAGCUGGAGAGAGAGUCCCACUUUGAUUCUUAAAAGGUUCGGCUUGGAAGUGACCUGGCCACCAGCAAUUCCAGCCCACUACCUGACUUGAAGGGCUGUCACCUCACGGCGACCUGGAGGGACUCCAGGGGGACCAUGACCCCGCAUCACUGUGCUGUUAUCUGCUCCCUUUGGAAGGGCUCUCGUGAUGAGCUCCUUUCAGACAUUGAUCCUGAGGAACAGUGUGGCCAUCUAGAAAAACUGUACCAGGGAUGGAACUCAGGACCUUGCACUUGUACGGCAGGCGUUGGUGCCACUGAGCUUAAAUUCCCGGCCCUCAUUUCUUACUUCUUUAAUCACGUCCUGGUUGAGUGCAUGACUUUCAUUAUCCACUAACUCCUAUCUCUUUUGAAAAUUGCUGGUACUUACAUUAUACUUAAAUAAAAAUAAUG
This 542-nucleotide long non-coding RNA is filed under the name Heterocephalus glaber (naked mole-rat). Its description in RNAcentral is "lncRNA (ENSHGLG00000040408.1)". Lineage: Eukaryota; Metazoa; Chordata; Mammalia; Rodentia; Bathyergidae. The record is from RNAcentral.